CAAGAGCGUAUAUUAAAGUUGCUGCGGUUAAAAAGCUCGUAGUUGGAUUUCAGUCUAGGAAGGUUAACUCGCCGAAAGGUUGUACGUUGAUUUUCCUCAGACUUCGUCAGAAGCUCGUGCUGCACUUAACUGUGUGGUACGAUGUUCUGACCUUUUACCUUGAGGAAAGUAGAGUGUUUCAGGCAGGCUACCCAGCUUGAAUACAUUAGCAUGGAAUAAUGAAAUGGAUCUCGGUUCGAUUUCGUUGGUUCUAGAGCUGAGGUGAUGAUCAAUAGGAACAGGCGAAGGUAUUCGUACUUGAGAGUGAGGAGUGAAUUCCGAUGAUCUCUUAAAGACGAUCCGAGGCGAAAGCAUUUGUCAAGGAUGUUUUCAUUGA
This 376-nucleotide ribosomal RNA is filed under the name uncultured eukaryote. RNAcentral describes it as "partial 18S ribosomal RNA". It matches the Rfam family "Eukaryotic small subunit ribosomal RNA", at positions 592 to 976 of the family's 1831-position model. The record is from RNAcentral.